UACGUAGGGUGCAGGCGUUAAUCGGAAUUACUGGGCGUAAAGCGUGCGCAGGCGGUUCGUUGUGUCGGCGGUGAAAGCCCAGGGCUCAACCCUGGAAUUGCCUUUAAUACUGUCGACCUUGAGUAUGGCAGAGGUGUGUGGAACUCCGAGUGUAGAGGUGAAAUUCGUAGAUAUUCGGAAGAACACCAGUGGCGAAGGCGACACACUGGGCCAUUACUGACGCUGAGGCGCGAAAGCGUGGGGAGCAAACAGG
Molecule: ribosomal RNA, 253 nt
Filed under: uncultured bacterium
Lineage: Bacteria
Description: partial 16S ribosomal RNA
Rfam family: Bacterial small subunit ribosomal RNA
Source: RNAcentral